Molecule: ribosomal RNA, 511 nt
Filed under: Bacillus vallismortis
Lineage: Bacteria; Bacillati; Bacillota; Bacilli; Caryophanales; Bacillaceae
Description: bacterial SSU rRNA
Rfam family: Bacterial small subunit ribosomal RNA
Source: RNAcentral
CAUUUUAUUGGCGGCAGAUGCGGUCUGCGAUGGAUUGAAGCACGCUUAACCUUACCAGGUCUUGACAUCCUCUGACAAUCCUAGAGAUAGGACGUCCCCUUCGGGGGCAGAGUGACAGGUGGUGCAUGGUUGUCGUCAGCUCGUGUCGUGAGAUGUUGGGUUAAGUCCCGCAACGAGCGCAACCCUUGAUCUUAGUUGCCAGCAUUCAGUUGGGCACUCUAAGGUGACUGCCGGUGACAAACCGGAGGAAGGUGGGGAUGACGUCAAAUCAUCAUGCCCCUUAUGACCUGGGCUACACACGUGCUACAAUGGGCAGAACAAAGGGCAGCGACACCGCGAGGUUAAGCCCAUCCCACAAAUCUGUUCUCAGUUUCGGAUCGCAGUCUGCAACUCGACUGCGUGAAGCUGGAAUCGCUAGUAAUCGAGGUAUCAGCAUGCCGCGGAUGAAUACGUUCCCGGGGCCUUGUACACACCCGGCCCACUAACACUUCUAUUUUGAUUUGGACGUGUA